RNAcentral lists this ribosomal RNA (500 nucleotides) under uncultured Glomeromycotina. RNAcentral's name for it is "partial small subunit ribosomal RNA". It matches the Rfam family "Eukaryotic small subunit ribosomal RNA", at positions 591 to 1092 of the family's 1831-position model. Lineage: Eukaryota; Fungi; Glomeromycota. The record is from RNAcentral.
CCAAUAGCGUAUAUUAAAGUUGUUGCAGUUAAAAAGCUCGUAGUUGAAUUUCGGGAUCGACGGGUCGGUCGCGCCUCUGGUGUGUACUGGCCCUGUCGGUUUCUCCCUUCUGAAGAACCGCGAUGUCAUUAAUUUGGUGUCGUGGGAAAUCAGGACUGUUACUUUGAAAAAAUUAGAGUGUUUAAAGCAGGCAUUCGCUUGAAUACAUUAGCAUGGAAUAAUGAAAUAGGACGUUUGAUCUUAUUUUGUUGGUUUCUAAGAUCGACGUAAUGAUUAAUAGGGAUAGUUGGGGGCAUUAGUAUUCAAUUGUCAGAGGUGAAAUUCUUGGAUUUAUUGAAGACUAACUACUGCGAAAGCAUUUGCCAAGGAUGCUUUCAUUAAUCAAGAACGAAAGUUAGGGGAUCGAAGACGAUCAGAUACCGUCGUAGUCUUGACCAUAAACUAUGCCGACUAGGGAUCGGAUGAUGUUAAUUUUUUAAUGACUCAUUCGGCGCCUUACG